AUCUACAGCCAUACCACCCUGAACGCACCCUGUCUCAUCUGAUCUUGGAAGCUAAGCAGUGUCAAGCCUGGUUAGUAGUUGGAUGGUAGACUUUUUAUAAUUAUACAACUAUAUAAA
This 117-nucleotide ribosomal RNA is filed under the name Sorex araneus (European shrew). Lineage: Eukaryota; Metazoa; Chordata; Mammalia; Eulipotyphla; Soricidae. The record is from RNAcentral.